CAAGGCUUGACAUAUACGAGAACGGGCUAGAAAUAGUCAACUCUUUGGACACUCGUAAACAGGUGGUGCAUGGUUGUCGUCAGCUCGUGUCGUGAGAUGUUGGGUUAAGUCCCGCAACGAGCGCAACCCUCGUUCUAUGUUGCCAGCACGUAAUGGUGGGAACUCAUGGGAUACUGCCGGGGUCAACUCGGAGGAAGGUGGGGAUGACGUCAAAUCAUCAUGCCCCUUAUGUCUUGGGCUUCACGCAUGCUACAAUGGCCGGUACAAAGGGCUGCAAUACCGUAAGGUGGAGCGAAUCCCAAAAAGCCGGUCCCAGUUCGGAUUGAGGUCUGCAACUCGACCUCAUGAAGUCGGAGUCGCUAGUAAUCGCAGAUCAGCAACGCUGCGGUGAAUACGUUCCC
RNAcentral lists this ribosomal RNA (401 nucleotides) under uncultured bacterium. Its description in RNAcentral is "bacterial SSU rRNA". It matches the Rfam family "Bacterial small subunit ribosomal RNA", at positions 975 to 1375 of the family's 1533-position model. The record is from RNAcentral.